Molecule: ribosomal RNA, 419 nt
Filed under: bacterium
Lineage: Bacteria
Description: partial 16S ribosomal RNA
Rfam family: Bacterial small subunit ribosomal RNA
Source: RNAcentral
UGGGGGAUAUUGCACAAUGGGCGAAAGCCUGAUGCAGCGACGCCGCGUGGGGGAUGAAGGCCUUCGGGUUGUAAACUUCUUUUGCUCUGAACAAGGCGCACCAUGGGGUGUGUUGAGUGUAGGGGUUGAUUAGCGCCGGCUAACUACGUGCCAGCAGCCGCGGUAAUACGUAGGGCGCGAGCGUUGUCCGGAAUUAUUGGGCGUAAAGGGCUUGUAGGUGGCUGGUUGCGUCUGUCGUGAAAGCUCAUGGCUUAACUGUGGGUUUGCGGUGGGUACGGGCUGGCUUGAGUGCAGUAGGGGAGGCUGGAAUUCCUGGUGUAGCGGUGGAAUGCGCAGAUGUCAGGAGGAAUACCGGUGGCGAAGGCGGGUCUCUGGGCUGUUACUGACACUGAGGAGCGAAAGCAUGGGGAGCGAACAGG